GGAUUAGCUAGUUGGUGGGGUAAAGGCCUACCAAGGCGACGAUCUGUAGCGGGUCUGAGAGGAUGAUCCGCCACACUGGGACUGAGACACGGCCCAGACUCCUACGGGAGGCAGCAGUGGGGAAUAUUGGACAAUGGGCGAAAGCCUGAUCCAGCCAUGCCGCGUGUGUGAAGAAGGCCUUUUGGUUGUAAAGCACUUUAAGCGAGGAGGAGGCUACUAGUACUAAUACUACUGGAUAGUGGACGUUACUCGCAGAAUAAGCACCGGCUAACUCUGUGCCAGCAGCCGCGGUAAUACAGAGGGUGCGAGCGUUAAUCGGAUUUACUGGGCGUAAAGCGUGCGUAGGCGGCUUUUUAAGUCGGAUGUGAAAUCCCCGAGCUUAACUUGGGAAUUGCAUUCGAUACUGGGAAGCUAGAGUAUGGGAGAGGAUGGUAGAAUUCCAGGUGUAGCGGUGAAAUGCGUAGAGAUCUGGAGGAAUACCGAUGGCGAAGGCAGCCAUCUGGCCUAAUACUGACGCUGAGGUACGAAAGCAUGGGGAGCAAACAGGAUUAGAUACCCUGGUAGUCCAUGCCGUAAACGAUGUCUACUAGCCGUUGGGGCCUUUGAGGCUUUAGUGGCGCAGCUAACGCGAUAAGUAGACCGCCUGGGGAGUACGGUCGCAAGACUAAAACUCAA
This 675-nucleotide ribosomal RNA is filed under the name uncultured bacterium. RNAcentral describes it as "bacterial SSU rRNA". It matches the Rfam family "Bacterial small subunit ribosomal RNA", at positions 238 to 904 of the family's 1533-position model. The record is from RNAcentral.